RNAcentral lists this ribosomal RNA (591 nucleotides) under Aspergillus fumigatus. RNAcentral's name for it is "partial large subunit ribosomal RNA". It matches the Rfam family "Eukaryotic large subunit ribosomal RNA", at positions 50 to 656 of the family's 3401-position model. The record is from RNAcentral. Lineage: Eukaryota; Fungi; Ascomycota; Eurotiomycetes; Eurotiales; Aspergillaceae.
GCGGAGGAAAAGAAACCAACAGGGAUUGCCUCAGUAACGGCGAGUGAAGCGGCAAGAGCUCAAAUUUGAAAGCUGGCCCCUUCGGGGUCCGCGUUGUAAUUUGCAGAGGAUGCUUCGGGUGCAGCCCCCGUCUAAGUGCCCUGGAACGGGCCGUCAUAGAGGGUGAGAAUCCCGUCUGGGACGGGGUGUCUGCGUCCGUGUGAAGCUCCUUCGACGAGUCGAGUUGUUUGGGAAUGCAGCUCUAAAUGGGUGGUAAAUUUCAUCUAAAGCUAAAUACUGGCCGGAGACCGAUAGCGCACAAGUAGAGUGAUCGAAAGAUGAAAAGCACUUUGAAAAGAGAGUUAAACAGCACGUGAAAUUGUUGAAAGGGAAGCGUUUGCGACCAGACUCGCCCGCGGGGUUCAGCCGGCAUUCGUGCCGGUGUACUUCCCCGUGGGCGGGCCAGCGUCGGUUUGGGCGGCCGGUCAAAGGCCCUCGGAAUGUAUCACCUCUCGGGGUGUCUUAUAGCCGAGGGUGCAAUGCGGCCUGCCUGGACCGAGGAACGCGCUUCGGCUCGGACGCUGGCGUAAUGGUCGUAAAUGACCCGUCUUG